This 453-nucleotide ribosomal RNA is filed under the name uncultured bacterium. Its description in RNAcentral is "bacterial SSU rRNA". It matches the Rfam family "Bacterial small subunit ribosomal RNA", at positions 28 to 478 of the family's 1533-position model. The record is from RNAcentral.
GAUGAACGCUAGCGGCAGGCCUAAUACAUGCAAGUCGAACGGAUAUAUGUUUUUCGGAAUAUAUAUUAGUGGCGCACGGGUGAGUAACACGUACAUAACUUGCCCUCAAGCGGGGGAUAGCCUUGGGAAACUGAGAGUAAUACCCCAUAGAAUUAUUGGACGGCAUCGUUUGAUAAUUAAAACUACGGUGCUUGGGGAUAGAUGUGCGUCUGAUUAGCUAGUUGGUGAGGUAACUGCUCACCAAGGCGACGAUCAGUAGGGGGCGUGAGAGCGUGGCCCCCCACACGGGUACUGAGACACGGACCCGACUCCUACGGGAGGCAGCAGUAAGGAAUAUUGGUCAAUGGAGGGAACUCUGAACCAGCCAUGCCGCGUGAAGGAUGACGGCCCUCUGGGUUGUAAACUUCUUUUGGAUGGGGCGAAAAAACGGGAUUUAUCCUGGACUGACGGUAC